Non-coding RNA from Miniopterus natalensis, 544 nucleotides. The record is from RefSeq and is a predicted model, not a curated record. NCBI's taxonomy places the organism in Eukaryota, Metazoa, Chordata, Mammalia, Chiroptera, Miniopteridae.
AAAAUCACAUUAUUGCCCACUGGUUUGGACAUAGGAAUAGAAAUUCAUUAUUUUAUUAUCUUUCAAAACAAGGUUGAAUGUGUUGGAGCCAUUUAGGUAGAGCUUUUAGACAUGGCCUUGGGAAGGAAGUUUCACUCAGGACUGUUGAUUUAAAUACUCCAGAGAGGAAAUGCUGGGACGUUGGAAAAAGAAAUCAGAGAACUCAGUGAUCACAGAAAAUAAUUACAGUACACUUAAGUUUUGGGUCUCUAAGUGCUAACAUUGCUUUAUAAUUAUGUUGGUUAACAUGCAGCACAGUCAGUCACUCCCAGUUGCCCCCAUCAGAACCUGUUCCUGCGUUUCUGCUCAGCAUUCUGUAACUGUGCUUAUUUCUUUAAGGUUUCAGUGUGGAAAAAAGUGCACAAAGUCAUUUCUAGAAUGCUUGAAGAAAAUGAAGAAUACAGACGCAGGCUGAAACGCCAGCAAUUGUCUAGGGAAAACUCAGAUUACACAAGAUGAAUCUUCUUAUCUUCUGGAGGUUUACCAAGAAGAUUAUGAAGAGUUU